Molecule: ribosomal RNA, 480 nt
Filed under: uncultured bacterium
Lineage: Bacteria
Description: partial 16S ribosomal RNA
Rfam family: Bacterial small subunit ribosomal RNA
Source: RNAcentral
GAUGAACGCUAGCGGCAGGCCUAACACAUGCAAGUCGAGGGGUAGAAGGAGCUUGCUCCUUUGAGACCGGCGCACGGGUGCGUAACGCGUAUGCAAUCUACCUUUUACAGGGGAAUAGCCCAGAGAACUUUGGAUUAAUGCCCCAUAGUAUAUAACCUUCGCAUGUUGGUUAUAUUAAAGUUCCAACGGUACAAGAUGAGCAUGCGUCCCAUUAGUUAGUUGGUAAGGUAACGGCUUACCAAGACGAUGAUGGGUAGGGGUCUUGAGAGGGAGAUCCCCCAGACUGGUACUAAGGCACAGACCAGACUGCGACGGGAGGCAGCAGUGAGGAAUAUUAGUGAAUGGUCGCAAGACGGAACCAGCCAUGCCGCGUGCAGAAAGUCGGUCCUAUGGAUUGUAAACUGCUUUUAUACAGGAAGAAACCCUCCCACGUGUGGGAGCUUGACGGUACUGUAGGAAUAAGGAUCGGCUAACUCCGUG